RNAcentral lists this ribosomal RNA (497 nucleotides) under uncultured bacterium. Its description in RNAcentral is "partial 16S ribosomal RNA". It matches the Rfam family "Bacterial small subunit ribosomal RNA", at positions 28 to 507 of the family's 1533-position model. The record is from RNAcentral.
GAUGAACGCUGGCGGCGUGCCUAAUACAUGCAAGUCGAGCGAACAGACGAGGAGCUUGCUCCUCUGACGUUAGCGGCGGACGGGUGAGUAACACGUGGAUAACCUACCUAUAAGACUGGGAUAACUUCGGGAAACCGGAGCUAAUGCCGGAUAAUAUAUUGAACCGCAUGGUUCAAUAGUGAAAGACGGUUUUGCUGACACUUAUAGAUGGAUCCGCGCCGCAUUAGCUAGUUGGUAAGGUAACGGCUUACCAAGGCAACGAUGCGUAGCCGACCUGAGAGGGUGAUCGGCCACACUGGAACUGAGACACGGUCCAGACUCCUACGGGAGGCAGCAGUAGGGAAUCUUCCGCAAUGGGCGAAAGCCUGACGGAGCAACGCCGCGUGAGUGAUGAAGGUCUUCGGAUCGUAAAACUCUGUUAUUAGGGAAGAACAAAUGUGUAAGUAACUAUGCACGUCUUGACGGUACCUAAUCAGAAAGCCACGGCUAACUACGUG